RNAcentral lists this non-coding RNA (36 nucleotides) under unclassified sequences. RNAcentral's name for it is "DUF805b RNA". It matches the Rfam family "DUF805b RNA". From Rfam's summary of the family: Bacteroidetes, Chlorobi (1 example), Proteobacteria. Lineage (Flavobacteria) The record is from RNAcentral.
AAGGCGAAUCCCGAAAAGCCUGUGACAGAGUAGGGA